Long non-coding RNA from Hippocampus zosterae (dwarf seahorse), 1847 nucleotides. RefSeq lists it as uncharacterized. NCBI's taxonomy places the organism in Eukaryota, Metazoa, Chordata, Actinopteri, Syngnathiformes, Syngnathidae. The transcript has 2 exons. The record is from RefSeq and is a predicted model, not a curated record.
UUAGGAUUAGGGUUCAAAUUGGGGUUUCAAGACUGGGGUAGGAAUUCCAGAUAGGAUUCAGGUUUACGCUACAAAUCCAUAGUUAGGAUUUCAAACUAGGGUUACAAGUCAUCGGUUUGCGUUCAAGAUAGGAUUAAGGUUCUAAACUAAAGUUUAAAAGUAAGGUUUUUAGCUAAAGUUGGGGUUUCAAGACAGGAGCUGUCUGUCUGGACGGUGUUUGGGUUGUUUCAAACAUGGUUAGGGUUUCAAGUUUGAUGUUGGCUUUUAAAAGAGCCUUCUGAAAAAAAAGAAAUAAGAGGCUUAUUUAUGAACACGAAUUUACAGAAAAUCAUCGAAGGCAGGGAAUGAAACAUCUGCAACGGGGCUACAGAGGAAGAAUAUUGACAGUUGCCAUCAAUUGAAAGAUGAAGGAUGUUCCUGAGUCGGUCCUGAUGCUGCACUUUUGAAAAGAGUAAAAAGAAGAAAAAAAAAAGGUGUUUGCAGGCCAGCGCGUGUUUCUAACAGCAGGUCAUCCUGCUCUGUGACAGCCCAGAUGUUUCUCACUGCCGCUGCCUUUCCACAGCUCAGCUGUCCCAGUAUGCCGAGCUGCCAGCGCACGCCGCCAACUCCGUGUUUCUCACACACACACACGCGCGCGCACAUUUACGCGCACAAAAGGAGCCCUCCCCUUACAAAGUUUUGAGGCGAAAGCUGCAAGUCUGAAGUCUCAGCGAUACGAACACAAGCUGGUCGUCGCUCGUGAAUAGUACGGCAAGUGCACAGAAAUGUGACAGUAACUGCCGUCGCUUUGAUAAACCGUGAGCAGAAAUGUUGCCAUUUCUCAGUACCGCAAUUGCAGCUGUUCAAUGAAUCGUUUUGAAAUGUUUGAGGGAAUCUCGUAAACGUCAAGAGAAAAUUUGGCCUACUUCAAGUAUGAAUAUUACUGUUUAAUUAACCCUUUUCAGGGACAAUGGUUACUAAAAUGGACAUUUUAUCAUGUUCUCAGGAUGCAGGGUGCAAGAAAGUGUUCAUCUGCAAAAUUGUCCUCUUGCUCCGCAGACCCUCCGACCGUCAGUCUUGUCUCUGUAGCUUUGCCAGAGUCAGGAAGCUGGACAUUUAGUUAGCUGUGUCGCGGCAGGUCACUAACCUAUGACCUACUAAUGACUGACCUUUCUGAGCGAAAACCUAAACAGUCCCUGGUGCCGUACUGUCUGGCAGAUGUCUGCUGACAGGCCAGUUAUUCAAAGAAUGCUAGCAAGGAUUCGCGCUAGCUGUGAAUUUAGGUUGUAAAUCUCUAAUCUGUACAUUUUUACACAUUAAAGUCGCUUCUUCUCUCCUCUUCUACGCUCUGUGAAAUAACGUCAAACGUCAAAGAUUAACUGAUGUUAGCCAUGCCAGUGAGCUUGUUAGCUAGUUAUUUGCUUUAGCUUCAAGUGCAGACAUGCUAACUCUCUUCGGUGGCUGUAAGCUCUCAAGACAGCAUUUAAUUAGUAAUUAAUGUUAUGGUGACUUUGUCUUUAAAAAAAAAGGAUCAUACCGCUGCUGAAAACUUGUUGACACAUUACACAAAUUGUGAAUUUUUACUUUGAUAAACUUCAGCGUCGCUAGUUUCUGCAGUGUAUAGGAAAAAUAUCAAUGUUUCAAAAAGUAAAUGUGGAAAUGGUUUACAAUAAAACCAUCUGUGUUACGUGGAUUGUUGCAAGAGUCUUACAAUCUGACUGUCUUUUGACCCCAAAUGUAUCUGUGAGUCAGCAGAUUUUAGCAGAUGCAGGGGGGGCGGGGGGGGGGGGGGGGGUGAAGCAUCACUUGGACGUUCUGUUUUGUACAUUACCCGUUCAUUUUUUACAAUAAAGAGAUUAUUGAUGUAA